AACAGGAUUAGAUACCCUGGUAGUCCACGCCGUAAACGAUGUCGACUUGGAGGUUGUUCCCUUGGGGAGUGGCUUCCGGAGCUAACGCGUUAAGUCGACCGCCUGGGGAGUACGGCCGCAAGGUUAAAACUCAAAUGAAUUGACGGGGGCCCGCACAAGCGGUGGAGCAUGUGGUUUAAUUCGAUGCAACGCGAAGAACCUUACCUACUCUUGACAUCCACGGAAUUCGGCAGAGAUGCCUUAGUGCCUUCGGGAACCGUGAGACAGGUGCUGCAUGGCUGUCGUCAGCUCGUGUUGUGAAAUGUUGGGUUAAGUCCCGCAACGAGCGCAACCCUUAUCCUUUGUUGCCAGCGAUUCGGUCGGGAACUCAAAGGAGACUGCCGGUGAUAAACCGGAGGAAGGUGGGGAUGACGUCAAGUCAUCAUGGCCCUUACGAGUAGGGCUACACACGUGCUACAAUGGCGCAUACAAAGAGAAGCGACCUCGCGAGAGCAAGCGGACCUCAUAAAGUGCGUCGUAGUCCGGAUCGGAGUCUGCAACUCGACUCCGUGAAGUCGGAAUCGCUAGUAAUCGUGGAUCAGAAUGCCACGGUGAAUACGUUCCCGGGCCUUGUACACACCGCCCGUCACACCAUGGGAGUGGGUUGCAAAAGAAGUAGGUAGCUUAACCUUCGGGAGGGCGCUUACCACUUUGUGAUUCAUGACUGGGGUGAAGUCGUAACAAGGUA
This 727-nucleotide ribosomal RNA is filed under the name uncultured bacterium. RNAcentral describes it as "bacterial SSU rRNA". It matches the Rfam family "Bacterial small subunit ribosomal RNA", at positions 771 to 1498 of the family's 1533-position model. The record is from RNAcentral.